This 253-nucleotide ribosomal RNA is filed under the name uncultured bacterium. Its description in RNAcentral is "partial 16S ribosomal RNA". It matches the Rfam family "Bacterial small subunit ribosomal RNA", at positions 524 to 776 of the family's 1533-position model. The record is from RNAcentral.
UACGUAGGGCGCAAGCGUUGUCCGGAAUUAUUGGGCGUAAAGAGCUCGUAGGCGGCUUGUCACGUCGGGUGUGAAAGACCGGGGCUUAACCCCGGUUCUGCAUUCGAUACGGGCUGGCUAGAGUGUGGUAGGGGAGAUCGGAAUUCCUGGUGUAGCGGUGAAAUGCGCAGAUAUCAGGAGGGACACCGGUGGCGAAGGCGGAUCUCUGGGCCAUUACUGACGCUGAGGAGCGAAAGCGUGGGGAGCGAACAGG